UGUCAGUCUUCAACAGCAGACCUUGAGAAUGCCUUCUUCCAUUUGUAGACACACAGUUACUACGAUAAAUAUUAAUGUAAGAGAAGCCAUAGUAAGAUUUCUGAAGCAAUUCGAAGUACUUAGGAAAAUUAUUAUUUCAUCGUGUUUCGGUUGUGUGAGUGUUUUGGAGAGACAGAGUGAAUGGAUCGCAUAUGUUAAGUUUUAUCACCUGAAGAUAUGAUUACAAUAUUGCGAAGCCAGUCAUGUAUAAUCUGGUAAUAAAGGAUUAUCAACAGCUAAUGCAAUUUCCAGAUUUUUUUUAGAAGAUUUUAACAAAAAAAAUUGACAGAAAUUUUUAACAUGUGUCAACUAAGCCCACAGUGUAAAGUCAUACAUUUUCUGCUGUUAUGAAUAUGAGUGGGAUCAGCACACAAGUAAUUUAUUGUGGAAACAACAGGAAUUUUAUUAGAAGAAAAAGAUACCUGAAACAACAGUCUCAUGCAUUAGUUAUAGCUCACUUGGACUGAAGAAUCUUGAACACCACAGAAAUUCAUAGGUAUCUUCAACGGAGACUACAACAUUAUAGGCUAACGUGAGGAAGAAAUAGAAGAUGAAAUGAAAAUGGAGAAGAAGGAAUGUGGAACAAGAGGAAAAGAUGUAAUACGUGCACAGUAAAGAAGCGAUUGACAAAAUUAUGUUGCAAAAUGUGUCAAAAGCUAAUCUGUUUGAUGCACAUUGAAACUUUUAGCUCUGACUGCAGUAAAAUUCCUGAUGUAUUACCGUAGCCCAAAAGUGACAAUGAGACAGAUUAGUGUGUAAUAUU
Long non-coding RNA from Schistocerca americana (American grasshopper), 802 nucleotides. RefSeq lists it as uncharacterized. The record is from RefSeq and is a predicted model, not a curated record. The transcript is spliced from 3 exons. Lineage: Eukaryota; Metazoa; Arthropoda; Insecta; Orthoptera; Acrididae.